UGAGGAAUAUUGGACAAUGGGUGGAAGCCUGAUCCAGCCAUCCCGCGUGAAGGACGACGGUUCUAUGGAUUGUAAACUUCUUUUAUAUGGGGAUAAACCUACCCUCGUGAGGGUAGCUGAAGGUACCAUAUGAAUAAGCACCGGCUAACUCCGUGCCAGCAGCCGCGGUAAUACGGAGGGUGCAAGCGUUAUCCGGAUUUAUUGGGUUUAAAGGGUCCGUAGGUGGGUUGGUAAGUCAGUGGUGAAAUCCUGCAGCUUAACUGUAGAAUUGCCAUUGAUACUGCUAGUCUUGAGUGUAUUUGAAGUAGCUGGAAUAAGUAGUGUAGCGGUGAAAUGCAUAGAUAUUACUUAGAACACCAAUUGCGAAGGCAGGUUACUAAGAUACAACUGACGCUGAUGGACGAAAGCGUGGGGAGCGAACAGG
This 424-nucleotide ribosomal RNA is filed under the name uncultured Chryseobacterium sp. Its description in RNAcentral is "bacterial SSU rRNA". It matches the Rfam family "Bacterial small subunit ribosomal RNA", at positions 355 to 776 of the family's 1533-position model. Lineage: Bacteria; Pseudomonadati; Bacteroidota; Flavobacteriia; Flavobacteriales; Weeksellaceae. The record is from RNAcentral.